CGUCGGAAACUGCGAAAAAAAGUGAGUGUAGUGACACUUUGAUCGCGGAGGCCGCGGUUAGGUUUUUCGAGAAAAGAAAAUCAGCCGUUGGUCGUUCGUCUAGGUAAUUGAAAGUGCGUGUACUUCGAAGUACAUGGUUAUUCUUUUUA
Caenorhabditis elegans is the source of this 149-nucleotide non-coding RNA. Lineage: Eukaryota; Metazoa; Nematoda; Chromadorea; Rhabditida; Rhabditidae. The record is from Ensembl.